UUUGGGACGCAGAGGAAUCUAAAACGCAGCGUUUUAAUAAAAUCUCUGUUAAUUUCAAAACGUAGCGUUUCAUCUGACCUCUCCUUAAAAAAAAGAGAGGUUUAUUGCCGGCGGCGAGAGAGAGAGAGAGAACAGUCGCCGGAGAAUAUGGUUCCCGGGAAGAUAGCAACUCGUCUUCAUCUCUUGAUCGAUCGUUGUGUUUGCGGAUACGCCGAAAGAGAAGAGAUGAGUUCGCCGGCGAAGGAAACGGAGAAAGAAUUGCUUCUUUCUUUAUCUCAGGUAUUGAGAGAGAUACAAUCUUGGAUUAGCGAAACUGAAGAGGAAGAAGAGACUACUGAUCAUGAGGAUGGAUCUGAUACUGCUUUAUGCUUGGAAAGAGUUGUGGCUGAUCUUGUUGGUUUGUUGGGUAUGAAGAAUGUGCAUGUUAAACAUUUGGCUGGCAACAUUCUUGUGCAAGUAUCCGAGUGUCUUGUUGAAUCUGGAAGCCAAUGGGAUGAUUUCAUUCGUUUGCUUUGUGAAUGUUUGCGCUUAGCAGUUAUCUACAGUUGCCCACCAAUCCCUGCUGUUUCUUCAUCAACUGGAUUUGGAAGUCCGGAUCUACAUUUAUUGGGUUCUGAUGUUCUUAAAUGUAAGCUGGAAAAGGCUAACUGGUACAUGGUGUCUGAUAUUUUUCGAAUUCUUCGUAAUAUAUUUAAGCGUUUGAGCCUAGAAGAAAAUGAGGAUCUUCUUGAUGUAUACUUGGAAUCUGUCAACUCUACACUUGCAAAAAUUCCUUGGUGCCGAGUAAACACUAUUUUCUCUCAUCAGCAUGGUAGUGGAACUUUUGGAAGCUCUGAAAAUUGUGAGGAAGGAACAGUAUUUCUUGGGAGCUUUGUUCAGUUUCUCUGUUCGGUGGUACAGCAGGUUCCCUUUGCCGAAGAUUCUGAUGGUUUUGAACCUGCACGUUUGAUCAUCCAAAAAACCAUCGAGCUUGUUCCGGAUCUCCUUCGUUGGUGCCAACCAAAGUUAGAAAGUCAAAAUGGCUCUUCCAUGUCAAGAUACCUAGGUCACAAGUUGCUGGUCCUAAUGGCCAGGCUCACGUAUCAGUCCAAUAUAGAAUGUACCAUUCUUCUUUCAUGGCUGCAAUAUUUACAACGCCAAUCUCAAGGCCUUCUUCAACACACCCUAACGAGCUUUAAACCCAUCCAAGAUAAUUGUUUGGAAGGUUCGCCAUUUUUUGUGAGUUUGUCUGAUAGGGAGGUCAGUGAGACGCAUUCUAAUCAUCUGCAAAGACUUUCUGUGUUUCUGUUCCUACGGUGCUCCUUCACUUUGCUUUAUUCGAGUAGACAUACCGACAAGCACUGUCAGUCUGAUUGUAGAAAGAAAGGAAUGGAAGAAAUGUUUAAAUGGAUUGAACGACUGAUUCCAGGUGAUACAUUUUCAGAUCACAGAAUUUAUACCAAGAAGAGAGUUGUCUUUUCUGCAUCCUUCGUCCGGUUGUUCAUGCAUGAGGAUGAUCUACUAUUUAAAGUCCUCCUGCAAUUCCUGUCUGUACCAUUGCAUAGAGAAGAACUGCUUAACGUGGAAGGGCAUUCGCGUCAGGAUGAGGAACAAACUAUUCUCUUCCGUUUAUCAACCUUGUUCAAUCCUGUAGUCCUAUUCUGUAUAUUUCUUUCAGAGUUGCAUUAUGAUCAUCAAGUCCUUCUUGAUUACCUUAUAUCUAAAGACAUCGGGGCUAGCUGUGCAGAGUACCUGCUGAGAUGUUUGCGAGCAGUCUGUGAUUCAUGGACCCUAUUUGUGGAAUUCCCAUUUGAAGAAAGUACAAAUGCUUCAUCUUUAAAGAGAAGAAAACUUUUGCUUGAGACUUCUGGGGUUGAAAAGAACUGUAAACUACAUCCUCAGGCUUUUGAAGAUGCCAAAGAUUGUCUGCUUUCGUUACAAAACUCAGUUGUUAAGCUACAUCAGAAGAAAAUAUUUCCAUACAACCCAGAAGCUCUUCUACGACGUUUGUCAAGGUUUCAAGAGCUCUGUGUAUACCACGAGUAAUUUAUCUGGACCAAAGAAAUUUCCCAAGAUGUUUCCAAUUAUUGACAAGAAAAAUGUGGUGAUAGAAGUCUUUGAACCUCUCAGUUUAGCUUCUCAGCUGAGAUUCUCUGAGAGAGAAGGAUCAGAUGCCAACACAAAGAAGACUCCUUUCCAGAUCAAAUUGCAAACUAAUUGGCUCAUAAAUUGAAUUGUAUGUAUCGUCAAAAAAAAAAAAAUUGAAUUGUAUAGAGAUCCUAAAUUCGUUGUUGCUGCACCUGCUGUGAAACAGAGAGCAUUAUGUUCUUGCCUCCAUAAUCCAUAUCUGAAAGGUAUAAGAUACUCUUGUCAAGCUAAUGUGAAACUGCCCCAGCCAAAUACAGUAAGCAGUGAAAUGUCGAAGUUACAGUGUAGAAAUAACCAAAAUCACAUAUAUUGAAACUCUCUUAUUCAUAUCAUAGAUGUAAUUGAGCUCAAAUCAUACAUGGUUGUUAUCAUUUUA
Camelina sativa (false flax) is the source of this 2503-nucleotide RNA transcript. RefSeq lists it as uncharacterized. NCBI's taxonomy places the organism in Eukaryota, Viridiplantae, Streptophyta, Magnoliopsida, Brassicales, Brassicaceae. The record is from RefSeq and is a predicted model, not a curated record.